Molecule: ribosomal RNA, 444 nt
Filed under: uncultured bacterium
Lineage: Bacteria
Description: bacterial SSU rRNA
Rfam family: Bacterial small subunit ribosomal RNA
Source: RNAcentral
CCAGACUCCUACGGGAGGCAGCAGUGGGGGAUAUUGCACAAUGGGGGGAACCCUGAUGCAGCGACGCCGCGUGGGUGAAGAAGCGCCUCGGCGCGUAAAGCCCUGUCAGCAGGGAAGAAAAUGACGGUACCUGAAGAAGAAGCCCCGGCUAACUACGUGCCAGCAGCCGCGGUAAUACGUAGGGAGCAAGCGUUGUCCGGAAUUACUGGGCGUAAAGGGCGCGUAGGUGGGCGCUUAAGUCAGGUGUGAAAACUCCGGGCUCAACCUGGAGACUGCACUUGAAACUGGGUGUCUUGAGGGCAGGAGAGGAAAGUGGAAUUCCUAGUGUAGCGGUGAAAUGCGUAGAUAUUAGGAGGAACACCAGUGGCGAAGGCGACUUUCUGGACUGUACCUGACGCUGAGGCGCGAAAGCGUGGGUAGCGAACGGGAUUAGAUACCCCAGUA